This 223-nucleotide unclassified non-coding RNA is filed under the name Paraglomerales sp. RNAcentral's name for it is "partial contains 5.8S ribosomal RNA and internal transcribed spacer 2". The stretch from base 1 to 65 matches the Rfam family "5.8S ribosomal RNA", at positions 84 to 154 of the family's 154-position model. Lineage: Eukaryota; Fungi; Glomeromycota; Glomeromycetes; Paraglomerales. The record is from RNAcentral.
GCGAAUCAUCGAAUUUUUGAACGCAAAUUGCGCCUUUUUCGGAAGGCAUGUCUGUUUGAGUUCACCAUUUAACAAAUAAUGUGCAGCGUUUUUUGCUGCACACGUUGAUGAGCUUUCCAAGAAUUUUAAAUUUUUGGUGGCGCAUAAUUAACAUCGUGAAAGUUUUUCUCAGUUCGAUCGUAGUAUAAUCUUUGAUUGGGUUGUGAUAAUAUAUAAUCUUGCA